CCUACGGGGGGCAGCAGUGAGGAAUAUUGGACAAUGGACGCAAGUCUGAACCAGCCAUGCCGCGUGCAGGAAGACGGCCCUAUGAGUUGUAAACUGCUUUUGUACGAGGGUAAACGCAGAUACGCGUAUCUGUCUGAAAGUAUCGUACCAAUAAGGAACGGCUAAAUCAGUGCCAGCAGCCGCGGCAAUACGGAGGAUUCAAGCGUUAUCCGGAUUUAUGGGGUUGAAAGGGUGCGUAGGCGGUCGGAUUAGUUAGAGGUGAAAUCCCGGGGCUCAACUUCGGAAUUGCCUCUGAUACUGUUCGGCUAGAGAGUAGUUGCGGUAGGCGGAAUGUAUGGUGUAGCGGUGAAAUGCUUAGAGAUCAUACAGAACACCGAUUGCGAAGGCAGCUUACCAAGCUACUUCUGACGUUGAGGCACGAAAGCGUGGGGAGCAAACAGGAUUAGAUACCCGAGUAGUC
Molecule: ribosomal RNA, 460 nt
Filed under: uncultured bacterium
Lineage: Bacteria
Description: partial 16S ribosomal RNA
Rfam family: Bacterial small subunit ribosomal RNA
Source: RNAcentral